AACUGAUACUACCUGCGGGAACCUGCGGAAGGAUCAUUAACGAGAUAGGGUUCUUUGAGCCCGACCCUCCCAACCCUUUGUUUAAGUAAAUCUGUUGCUUCGGCGGGUCCGUCCUUGGACCGCCGGGGGAGUGAUCCCCUGGCCUGUGCCCGCCGACGGCCCUAUUUAGAUUCUGAUCAAACGUGUUCUCUAAGUCCCAAUCUUUAAUGAAGCAAAACUUUUAACAAUGGAUCUCUAGAU
Molecule: unclassified non-coding RNA, 240 nt
Filed under: soil metagenome
Description: partial contains 5.8S ribosomal RNA, internal transcribed spacer 2, and large subunit ribosomal RNA
Source: RNAcentral